GGUUUAAUUCGAAGAUACACGAAGAACCUUACCUGGCCUUGACAUGGUAGGAACCCUUAAGAGAUUAGGGGUGCUAGCUUGCUAGAACCUACACACAGGUGCUGCACGGCUGUCGUCAGCUCGUGUCGUGAGAUGUUGGGUUAAGUCCCGCAACGAGCGCAACCCUCGUCCUUAGUUGCUAACAGUUCGGCUGAGCACUCUAGGGAGACUGCCUUCGCAAGGAGGAGGAAGGUGAGGACGACGUCAAGUCAUCAUGGCCCUUACGGCCAGAGCUACACACGUGCUACAAUGGGGCGUACAGAGAGCUGCGAUACCGCGAGGUGGAGCCAAUCUCUUAAAGCGUCUCUCAGUUCGGAUUGGGGUCUGCAACUCGACCCCAUGAAGUCGGAGUCGCUAGUAAUCGCAGAUCAGCAACGCUGCGGUGAAUACGUUCCCGGGCCUU
RNAcentral lists this ribosomal RNA (442 nucleotides) under uncultured Sulfuricurvum sp. RNAcentral describes it as "bacterial SSU rRNA". It matches the Rfam family "Bacterial small subunit ribosomal RNA", at positions 943 to 1382 of the family's 1533-position model. The record is from RNAcentral. Lineage: Bacteria; Pseudomonadati; Campylobacterota; Epsilonproteobacteria; Campylobacterales; Sulfurimonadaceae.